UGCMAGUCGAGCGGACUAAAGGGAGCUUGCUCCCAGAGGUUAGCGGCGGACGGGUGAKUWCACGUGGGCAACCUGCCCUGUAGACUGGGAUAACAUCGAGAAAUCGGUGCUAAUACCGGAUAAUCAUUGGAGCUUCAUGGUUCUAAUGUAAAAGAUGGCUCCGGCUAUCACUAUGGGAUGGGCCCGCGGCGCAUUAGCUAGUUGGUAAGGUAAUGGCUUACCAAGGCGACGAUGCGUAGCCGACCUGAGAGGGUGAUCGGCCACACUGGGACUGAGACACGGCCCAGACUCCUACGGGAGGCAGCAGUAGGGAAUCUUCCGCAAUGGACGAAAGUCUGACGGAGCAACGCCGCGUGAGUGAUGAAGGUUUUCGGAUCGUAAAGCUCUGUUGUUAGGGAAGAACAAGUGCCAUUCAAAUAGGGUGGCACCUUGACGGUACCUAACCAGAAAGCCACGGCUAACUACGUGCCAGCAGCCGCGGUAAUACGUAGGUGGCAAGCGUUGUCCGGAAUUAUUGGGCGUAAAGCGCGCGCAGGCGGUCUUUUAAGUCUGAUGUGAAAUCUCGGGGCUCAACCCCGAGCGGUCAUUGGAAACUGGGAGACUUGAGUACAGAAGAGGAGAGUGGAAUUCCACGUGUAGCGGUGAAAUGCGUAGAUAUGUGGAGGAACACCAGUGGCGAAGGCGACUCUCUGGUCUGUAACUGACGCUGAGGCGCGAAAGUGUGGGGAGCAAACAGGAUUAGAUACCCUGGUAGUCCACACCGUAAACGAUGAGUGCUAGGUGUUAGGGGUUUCGAUGCCCUUAGUGCCGAAGUUAACACAUUAAGCACUCCGCCUGGGGAGUACGGCCGCAAGGCUGAAACUCAAAGGAAUUGACGGGGGCCCGCACAAGCAGUGGAGCAUGUGGUUUAAUUUCGAAGCAACGCGAGAACCUUAC
This 936-nucleotide ribosomal RNA is filed under the name Bacillus sp. MAYA. RNAcentral describes it as "bacterial SSU rRNA". It matches the Rfam family "Bacterial small subunit ribosomal RNA", at positions 56 to 974 of the family's 1533-position model. The record is from RNAcentral. Lineage: Bacteria; Bacillati; Bacillota; Bacilli; Caryophanales; Bacillaceae.